UACGGAAGGGGCAAGCGUUGUUCGGAAUCAUUGGGCGUAAAGGGCGCGUAGGCGGUCUUGUGUGUCUGCUGUGAAAGCAUGCGGCUCAACCGUAUAGGGUCGGUAGAAACUGCAAGACUCGAGGCUGGGAGGGGCUGGUGGAAUUCCCUGUGUAGCGGUGAAAUGCGUAGAUAUAGGGGAGAACACUCGUGGCGAAGGCGGCCAGCUAGACCAGUCCUGACGCUGAGGCGCGACAGCGUGGGGAGCAAACAGGAUUAGAUACCCUGGUAGUCCACGCCGUAAACUAUGGGCACUAGGUGUUGGCGGUAUUAACUCCGUCAGUGCCGGAGCUAACGCAGUAAGUGCCCCGCCUGGGGAGUACGGUCGCAAGGCUGAA
RNAcentral lists this ribosomal RNA (376 nucleotides) under uncultured bacterium. RNAcentral describes it as "bacterial SSU rRNA". It matches the Rfam family "Bacterial small subunit ribosomal RNA", at positions 524 to 898 of the family's 1533-position model. The record is from RNAcentral.